This 540-nucleotide ribosomal RNA is filed under the name Giardia duodenalis. Its description in RNAcentral is "SSU rRNA". It matches the Rfam family "Eukaryotic small subunit ribosomal RNA", at positions 411 to 1128 of the family's 1831-position model. Lineage: Eukaryota; Fornicata; Diplomonadida; Hexamitidae. The record is from RNAcentral.
CACAUCCAAGGACGGCAGCAGGCGCGGAACUUGCCCAAUGCGCGGCGCGCGAGGUAGCGACGGGGAGCGCGCGAGCGAGGCGGGCCCACAGCCCCCGCCGCGGAGCCGAGGGCAAGGUCUGGUGCCAGCAGCCGCGGUAAUUCCAGCUCGGCGAGCGUCGCGCGGCGCUGCUGCAGUUGAAACGCCCGUAGUUGGCCCCCCGCCGCCACGAGGAAACGGGAGCGCUCCAGGCAGGCCCGUUGGACCCGCCGCGUGGGACCGCGCAGCGGGCGCGGCGCGCCGCGGCAGCCCCGAGGAGAGCGGGCGGGGGCACCGGUACCGGCCGGGGACGGGUGAAACAGGAUGAUCCCGCCGAGACCGCCGGCCGCGCAGGCGCCUGCCAAGACCGCCUCUGUCAAUCAAGGGCGAAGGCCGGGGGCUAGAAGGCGAUCAGACACCACCGUAUUCCCGGCCGUAAACGGUGCCGCCCCGCGGCCGGCGCGCGCGUCCCGCCGUCCGCCCAGGGAAACCGGGAGGCACCGGGCUCUGGGGGGAGUAUGG